This 466-nucleotide ribosomal RNA is filed under the name uncultured bacterium. RNAcentral's name for it is "partial 16S ribosomal RNA". It matches the Rfam family "Bacterial small subunit ribosomal RNA", at positions 28 to 507 of the family's 1533-position model. The record is from RNAcentral.
GACGAACGCUGGCGGCGCGCCUAACACAUGCAAGUCGAACGAGCGCGUCAGAGCUUGCUUUCUCGAGCGAGUUGCGGACGGGUGAGUAACCCGUGUGGAAGCUGCCGCAAAGGGGGGGACAACAGAUUGAAACGAACGCUAAUACCGCAUAAGCCCACGACGCGGCAGCGGGGCGAGGGAAAAGGAGCUAUCCGGUUUGAGAUGGCCCCGCGUCCGAUUAGGUAGUUGGUGAGGUAACGGCCCACCAAGGCGACGAUCGGUAGCUGGACUGAGAGGUUGAACGGCCACAUUGGGACUGAGACACGGCCCAGACUCCUACGGGAGGCAGCAGUGGGGAAUCUUGCACAAUGGGGGCAACCCUGAUGCAGCCACGCCGCGUGAAGGAAGAAGGUCUUAGGAUUGUAAACUCCUGUUGUUGAGGAAGAUAAUGACGGUACUAAACAAGGAAGUGACGGCUAACUACGUG